CAAUUGAGUUUGAAUCACAAACCAAAGAUCCGAAUGACUGGGAUUUCUUCAAUCCCAACCCAGCCACGUGCAUGUUCUGUUGUGUGGUCUGAGAGUUCAAUCCCAAAUGUGAAAAAGAGAGACACUUGGGACAAGGGAUGGUGAAAGACGCCAUUUUGAACAAACCCCACAAAUCAAAAACCAAUUUUUUUUAGCUGCUGAGCUCAAAUGACAGUGUGAUCUAGCGAAGUGGGUGAGCGAGAAUAUAAGGAUUCUUUGUGGCAAUGAGGUCGAAGAAGGAAUGGAGAAUGGUGUGCGAGGAAAUGGAGAAAAGCUUGCAAUGAAUGAUGGAAACUACGAAGGAGGAACACUGGUUUUA
Molecule: long non-coding RNA, 358 nt
Filed under: Arachis ipaensis
Lineage: Eukaryota; Viridiplantae; Streptophyta; Magnoliopsida; Fabales; Fabaceae
Description: long non-coding RNA (AIPA_LNC001529)
Source: RNAcentral